RNAcentral lists this transfer RNA (75 nucleotides) under Virus Rctr197k. Its description in RNAcentral is "tRNA-Arg". It matches the Rfam family "tRNA". From Rfam's summary of the family: Transfer RNA (tRNA) molecules are approximately 80 nucleotides in length. Their secondary structure includes four short double-helical elements and three loops (D, anti-codon, and T loops). The record is from RNAcentral. Lineage: Duplodnaviria; Heunggongvirae; Uroviricota; Caudoviricetes.
GCGCGCGUAGCUCAGUUGGACCAGAGCAGCCGGCCUCUACCCGGCGGGUCGGGGGUUCGAGUCCCUCCGCGCGCA